UACGUAGGGUGCGAGCGUUGUCCGGAAUUAUUGGGCGUAAAGAGCUCGUAGGCGGUCUGUCGCGUCGGUCGUGAAAACUUGGGGCUUAACCCUGAGCUUGCGGUCGAUACGGGCAUGACUGGAGUUCGGCAGGGGAGACUGGAAUUCCUGGUGUAGCGGUGAGAUGCGCAGAUAUCAGGAGGAACACCGGUGGCGAAGGCGGGUCUCUGGGCCGAUACUGACGCUCAUGCACGAAAGCGUGGGGAGCAAACAGG
RNAcentral lists this ribosomal RNA (254 nucleotides) under uncultured bacterium. RNAcentral describes it as "partial 16S ribosomal RNA". It matches the Rfam family "Bacterial small subunit ribosomal RNA", at positions 524 to 776 of the family's 1533-position model. The record is from RNAcentral.